RNAcentral lists this unclassified non-coding RNA (376 nucleotides) under uncultured Chitinophagaceae bacterium. RNAcentral describes it as "contains 16S-23S intergenic spacer region". The record is from RNAcentral. Lineage: Bacteria; Pseudomonadati; Bacteroidota; Chitinophagia; Chitinophagales; Chitinophagaceae.
UCACGUCUUGCGACGGCAGUUUCUUCAGAGUUCCCACCAUUACGUGCUGGCAACUGAAGAUGGGGGUUGCGCUCGUUGCGGGACUUAACCCAACACCUCACGGCACGAGCUGACGACAGCCAUGCAGCACCUUACUACCUGUAUAUUGCUAUAAAAUACCCUUUCAGGUACGGUCAGGUAGCAUUCUAGCCCAGGUAAGGUUCCUCGCGUAUCAUCGAAUUAAACCACAUACUCCACCGCUUGUGCGGACCCCCGUCAAUUCCUUUGAGUUUCAUCCUUGCGGACGUACUUCCCAGGUGGAUUACUUAAUGCUUUCGCUCAGACACACACUGUGUAUCGCGUAUGUCGAGUAAUCAUCGUUUAGGGCGUGGACUAC